AUGGGCAAGUCACUUUCUCAAGUAGUUUGGGGAUGUCCCUUGGGAAAUAGUACUUGCUUACUCGAUUUUGUGCGUAGUUCGAACAUGGACCUUAGAAGGGUGAUUUUGCUAGAUUGGAGGUUAAAUAUAUUUCUUUUUUGCAAACAAGUUAUAUAUUCCUUGAACAAAAAUCUACCUAAAUUUAUGUUGGAUACCUUCAUAUAUCUUCAUAUAUUUGGCAAGAUUGCUUUUUCAUGCCAGAUUCAGAUUCAACCAAGUGACGAUUCCAACUUGGUCACAGAAUCAGAAAACGCCUUGCAGUCCUCUUCUACCACAAGCACAUCACCUCUUCGGCUCUUCGUUGUUUCCCUGGUAUAA
This 357-nucleotide ribosomal RNA is filed under the name Triticum aestivum (bread wheat). Its description in RNAcentral is "partial small subunit ribosomal RNA". Lineage: Eukaryota; Viridiplantae; Streptophyta; Magnoliopsida; Poales; Poaceae. The record is from RNAcentral.